RNAcentral lists this ribosomal RNA (1126 nucleotides) under Mycolicibacterium peregrinum. RNAcentral describes it as "bacterial SSU rRNA". It matches the Rfam family "Bacterial small subunit ribosomal RNA", at positions 252 to 1388 of the family's 1533-position model. Lineage: Bacteria; Bacillati; Actinomycetota; Actinomycetes; Mycobacteriales; Mycobacteriaceae. The record is from RNAcentral.
GUGGGGUAAUGGCCUACCAAGGCGACGACGGGUAGCCGGCCUGAGAGGGUGACCGGCCACACUGGGACUGAGAUACGGCCCAGACUCCUACGGGAGGCAGCAGUGGGGAAUAUUGCACAAUGGGCGCAAGCCUGAUGCAGCGACGCCGCGUGAGGGAUGACGGCCUUCGGGUUGUAAACCUCUUUCAAUAGGGACGAAGCGCAAGUGACGGUACCUAUAGAAGAAGGACCGGCCAACUACGUGCCAGCAGCCGCGGUAAUACGUAGGGUCCGAGCGUUGUCCGGAAUUACUGGGCGUAAAGAGCUCGUAGGUGGUUUGUCGCGUUGUUCGUGAAAACUCACAGCUUAACUGUGGGCGUGCGGGCGAUACGGGCAGACUAGAGUACUGCAGGGGAGACUGGAAUUCCUGGUGUAGCGGUGGAAUGCGCAGAUAUCAGGAGGAACACCGGUGGCGAAGGCGGGUCUCUGGGCAGUAACUGACGCUGAGGAGCGAAAGCGUGGGGAGCGAACAGGAUUAGAUACCCUGGUAGUCCACGCCGUAAACGGUGGGUACUAGGUGUGGGUUUCCUUCCUUGGGAUCCGUGCCGUAGCUAACGCAUUAAGUACCCCGCCUGGGGAGUACGGCCGCAAGGCUAAAACUCAAAGAAAUUGACGGGGGCCCGCACAAGCGGCGGAGCAUGUGGAUUAAUUCGAUGCAACGCGAAGAACCUUACCUGGGUUUGACAUGCACAGGACGCCAGUAGAGAUAUUGGUUCCCUUGUGGCCUGUGUGCAGGUGGUGCAUGGCUGUCGUCAGCUCGUGUCGUGAGAUGUUGGGUUAAGUCCCGCAACGAGCGCAACCCUUAUCUUAUGUUGCCAGCGCGUAAUGGCGGGGACUCGUGAGAGACUGCCGGGGUCAACUCGGAGGAAGGUGGGGAUGACGUCAAGUCAUCAUGCCCCUUAUGUCCAGGGCUUCACACAUGCUACAAUGGCCGGUACAAAGGGCUGCGAUGCCGUGAGGUGGAGCGAAUCCUUUCAAAGCCGGUCUCAGUUCGGAUCGGGGUCUGCAACUCGACCCCGUGAAGUCGGAGUCGCUAGUAAUCGCAGAUCAGCAACGCUGCGGUGAAUACGUUCCCGGGCCUUGUACAC